AAUGACAAUAAUAUCAGCUUACAUUGGGUUAAAUCAACAUCAUUUUAAAUUUCUCUUACGUCUAUACAGUAUAGAUCUGUACGUAUGCACGUAGGAUUUAUAUGUUAUCAAUAUGUUAAAAUUAUAAAUGGUCUAUCAAUACAGAAUGAUUGCUUACGACGGGAGUAGAGAAGUUCAUGAGGGCUCCGGAAAUGAAUAGUAUGUGAGAAAAAUGCACAAACGUCAGUAGAUGUACCAAGAUCAUUUUCAUAGAUCCUGCUCCUCCUUGGUUUUAGGAUCUAACUCGGUUCGACUACUGUGUAUAGAGUUGGUGAAUGAUGAGAUAUAUCGAGAGAAGGUAUACUCUAGUAAUCAACUUACUGUCCAAAUGAAAAUUCUGCUGAAUUUAUCAAAAAGGAUAGAGACAUACUUCGAAAAAGCACACACGGUUUAGUAAGGCAUGCUUAAAAUGUUAAGCCGUCGAGAACUGAUGACACCAUUCCAUACUGUCGCGGAUCGUCAUCAGUUUUGUGCAACAAUAGCUGCUACAUUAACACUUAGCCAUAUCAAUUGUAAAAUA
Molecule: long non-coding RNA, 559 nt
Organism: Centruroides sculpturatus (bark scorpion)
Lineage: Eukaryota; Metazoa; Arthropoda; Arachnida; Scorpiones; Buthidae
Exons: 3
Source: RefSeq, a predicted model, not a curated record